This is a long non-coding RNA of Orussus abietinus, 614 nucleotides long. RefSeq lists it as uncharacterized. The transcript is spliced from 4 exons. The record is from RefSeq and is a predicted model, not a curated record. NCBI's taxonomy places the organism in Eukaryota, Metazoa, Arthropoda, Insecta, Hymenoptera, Orussidae.
CUCCUCUGGCCACUCUUCGAAGCAGAUCCACGCAUUGCACCGAGGACAGUUCAUCCAGGCCCCUGAAAGUCCACAUCAAGAGGAACUUCCUUACGUAGUGGGUUCAUCCAGAAAUAUCACCGGAGGGUUAUUCACCAGUUCGAGGGCUAUCGAAAGCCUCUUUCGUUCCCCACCCGAUAGCCUCUCCGUAAUGGUAUCCCUCACUCGACUCAGUCUUAAGCAUCGAAGUCCUUGUAUGAUUUAACCACCGAUGAUGACUUCGCCAAGGAAUCUACGCAUAAUUUCCUACACCUGUCGGAGUGUCUAAUAAAUCGACCCUGGCUCUACAAAGAAAUGGCAGACUGUGAAAAAUCUGCGAUUCUCCACGGAGGCUGCGUCCAAGAUCUGCAGUUCUGGAGCCCAUUGUCUACGCUGAAGUGCAUUCCCCAUGAGGUUGUACGCACUCGCCCCGGGUGGUAGUUACUGUUAAUGUGCAAAUCAAGUGCGGUUUAUGUUCCACGAAGGUACGAAGCAGUUCAACCUCAUCUUGAAGACGCUACUUUUCGACGUCUUCACCUGGCAGAGUGGCUUGGAUACAUUUUAUAAUUGCUGUGCGGGGUGUAUUAGACAAAGUG